GAUGAACGCUGGCGGCGUGCCUAAUACAUGCAAGUCGAGCGAACAGAUGAGGAGCUUGCUCCUCUGACGUUAGCGGCGGACGGGUGAGUAACACGUGGAUAACCUACCUAUAAGACUGGGAUAACUUCGGGAAACCGGAGCUAAUACCGGAUAAUAUAUUGAACCGCAUGGUUCAAUAGUGAAAGACGGUUUUGCUGUCACUUAUAGAUGGAUCCGCGCCGCAUUAGCUAGUUGGUAAGGUAACGGCUUACCAAGGCAACGAUGCGUAGCCGACCUGAGAGAGGGGUCGGCCACACUGGAACUGAGACACGGUCCAGACUCCUACGAGAGGCAGCAGUAGGGAAUCUUCCGCAAUAGGCGAAAGCCUGACGGAGCAACGCCACGUGAGUGAUAAAGAUCUUCGGAUCGUAAAGCUCUGUUAUUGGGGAAGAACAAAUGUGUAAGUAACUAUGCACGUCUUGACGGUACCUAAUCAGAAAGCCACGGCUAACUACGUG
Molecule: ribosomal RNA, 497 nt
Filed under: uncultured bacterium
Lineage: Bacteria
Description: partial 16S ribosomal RNA
Rfam family: Bacterial small subunit ribosomal RNA
Source: RNAcentral